GACGAACGCUGGCGGCGUGCCUAAUACAUGCAAGUAGAACGCACAGUUUAUACCGUAGCUUGCUACACCAUAGACUGUGAGUUGCGAACGGGUGAGUAACGCGUAGGUGACCUGCCUGGUAGCGGGGGAUAACUAUUGGAAACGAUAGCUAAUACCGCAUAAUAUUGAUUAUUGCAUGAUAAUUGAUUGAAAGAUGCUAUUGCAUCACUACCAGAUGGACCUGCGUUGUAUUAGCUAGUAGGUGAGGUAACGGCUCACCUAGGCGACGAUACAUAGCCGACCUGAGAGGGUGAUCGGCCACACUGGGACUGAGACACGGCCCAGACUCCUACGGGAGGCAGCAGUAGGGAAUCUUCGGCAAUGGACGAAAGUCUGACCGAGCAACGCCGCGUGAGUGAAGAAGGUUUUCGGAUCGUAAAGCUCUGUUGUAAGAGAAGAACGGGUGUGAGAGUGGAAAGUUCACACUGUGACGGUAUCUUACCAGAAAGGGACGGCUAACUACGUG
Molecule: ribosomal RNA, 505 nt
Filed under: uncultured bacterium
Lineage: Bacteria
Description: partial 16S ribosomal RNA
Rfam family: Bacterial small subunit ribosomal RNA
Source: RNAcentral